Molecule: ribosomal RNA, 299 nt
Filed under: uncultured eukaryote
Lineage: Eukaryota
Description: partial 18S ribosomal RNA
Rfam family: Eukaryotic small subunit ribosomal RNA
Source: RNAcentral
CCCCUAGAUGUUCUGGGCCGCACGCGCGCUACAAUGAGAGGUUCAACGAGAGAUCUGCUUUGAAAAGAGUGGAGGAACAGAAAAGCCUUUUGUGAUUGGGAUAGAAUAUUGGAAUUUUUAUUCUUGAACGAGGAAUGCCUAGUAAAUGCAAUUCAUAAAAUUGCGUUGAUUACGUCAAUGCCCUUUGUACACACCGCCCAUCGCUCCUACCGAUUGAAUUAUCCGGUGAAUUUUUUGAAUUUUCGAGAGGAAAGAAGAGAAAUAAACCUUGUGAUUUAGAGGAAGGAGAAGAUGCAACA